This is a non-coding RNA of Aegilops tauschii subsp. strangulata, 1018 nucleotides long. NCBI's taxonomy places the organism in Eukaryota, Viridiplantae, Streptophyta, Magnoliopsida, Poales, Poaceae. The record is from RefSeq and is a predicted model, not a curated record.
GGGGGCCAGGACCCCGCUCGAUUCAUCGUCCUCUUCGUACUACGUCCCGAUGCUAGCGAGCAGGCCCCCGGUCGGGCUAUAGCAGGCUGAAGGCGUGCGUCUACCCUGCUGCCGCCUGCCGCUUCGACUCUGGGAGCUCACAAUUAAUAGCGAGAAAAACGAAGAGGCGAGCCCUCGGCCGCCGCUUGGUUGGACCAUUGGUGGAUCGCGGCUUGGCGGGUGCCAGUCCUGUGCCAUCCGGUCGCCGGCCACCGGCGGCGCCACCGUCGACGGGUGUACAGCAGCAACGGAUGAACGGAGCAUCCUCAGCAACUCAUCUCUAAUCAGGGAAGAAAAGGGAAGAUAAUGGAGAAGUAUUUGAUAAAGAAAUCAGCAAAUGCCAACACCACCACCCAGCCCCGGGGGGCUAUCACCAGCAACAAUUCAAGUGGCAGUAGUAAUGCAUCAAGACCUGCAGCAAAACAUAAUUCUGUUGUGCCUGAACUAGUUGAUUUGAAUAAGCUCCCUCGGGAUCCAGCUAAAAGGAAGCGAAUGGCAGAUUACCACCCCAACCAACGUGACGAGAUAAGAAGGAAGUAUUUGAUUUGGGGACCUAAUCAGCCCCGCAAAUUGGAAUUUCCAUACAGGGAGAUUGGGAAGAAGAAAAAGAAGAGGAGAUUCAAUCCGGAUUGGUAUGAUGAUUAUGCUUAUUGGCUAGAGUACAGCGAGAAGGAGCACAAAGCCUAUUGCUUAUGCUGCUAUUUGUUUAGGGACAACAUUAAAGACAACCACCAUGGGCACGAUGCAUUUGUAGUAGAAGGUUUCAACUGUUGGAACAAGACAGAGAGAUUUGUAACUCACGUCGGUGAUCGUAACAGCUUUCACAACAGAGCACUCAAGGAUUGCGAGGAUCUAUUAAAGCAAGAUCAAUCAAUCCCUGCAGCCUGGAAUAGACAAAGCCAAACUGAAAAGAAUGAGCAUCUCAUGAGGUUAAAUGCCGCAAUUGAUGUUUGUCGAUACUUGUUGCAUCAGGGACAAC